GACGAACGCUGGCGGCGUGCUUAACACAUGCAAGUCGAGCGGUAAGGCCCUUUUGGGGGUACGACGAGCGGCGAACGGGUGAGUAACACGUGGGUGACCUGCCCUCAGCUCUGGGAUAAGCCUGGGAAACUGGGUCUAAUACUGGAUAUGACCUUUCCUCGCAUGGGGUUGGGUGGAAAGUUUUUCGGCUGGGGAGUGGGCCCGCGGCCUAUCAGCUUGUUGGGUGGGGUGAUGGCCUACCAAGGCGACGACGGGUAGCCGGCCUGAGAGGGCGACCGGCCACACUGGGACUGAGACACGGCCCACGACUCCUACGGGAGGCAGCAGUGGGGAAGUAUUGCGCAAUGGGCGGAAGCCUGACGCAGCGACGCCGCGUGGGGGA
RNAcentral lists this ribosomal RNA (382 nucleotides) under uncultured bacterium. Its description in RNAcentral is "bacterial SSU rRNA". It matches the Rfam family "Bacterial small subunit ribosomal RNA", at positions 28 to 408 of the family's 1533-position model. The record is from RNAcentral.